This 503-nucleotide ribosomal RNA is filed under the name uncultured bacterium. RNAcentral's name for it is "partial 16S ribosomal RNA". It matches the Rfam family "Bacterial small subunit ribosomal RNA", at positions 30 to 523 of the family's 1533-position model. The record is from RNAcentral.
AUUGAACGCUGGCGGCAGGCUUAACACAUGCAAGUCGAGCGGGGUGAUGGUGCUUGCACUAUCACUUAGCGGCGGACGGGUGAGUAAUGCUUAGGAAUCUGCCUAUUAGUGGGGGACAACAUCUCGAAAGGGAUGCUAAUACCGCAUACGUCCUACGGGAGAAAGCAGGGGAUCACUUGUGACCUUGCGCUAAUAGAUGAGCCUAAGUCGGAUUAGCUAGUUGGUGGGGUAAAGGCCUACCAAGGCGACGAUCUGUAGCGGGUCGGAGGGGAUGAUCCGCCACACUGGGACGGGGACCCGGACCUGACCCCGAAGGGAGGCGGCAGUGGGGAAGAUUGGGCGAUGGGGGGUACCCUGCUCCAGCCGUGCCGCGUGUGUGAAGAAGGCCUUAUGGUUGUAAAGCACUUUAAGCGAGGAGGAGGCUCUUUUGGUUAAUACCCAAGAUGAGUGGAGGUUACUCGCAGAAUAAGCACCGGCUAAGUCUGUGCCAGCCGCCGCAGUAA